Phascolarctos cinereus (koala) is the source of this 295-nucleotide non-coding RNA. The record is from RefSeq and is a predicted model, not a curated record. NCBI's taxonomy places the organism in Eukaryota, Metazoa, Chordata, Mammalia, Diprotodontia, Phascolarctidae.
UGCCUUCAUGGAGCGGAGUUCUGCAUGACAUAAAAUAAUGGAAUCUCACAAGAAGUAGGAUCCCAGAUGAAGAAUUGCAAGUCACUCUCAAAUGCAAGGUGUACAGAUGAAGGGUACCUGUCUCUCUGGCAUCUGGAAUCCACAAGGGAAUGCUGUGAAAUCCAAGUCUGGCCCUGUAAAUGCAAACACCUGUCUGUCCUGAGAGAGUUUCAUCAUCUCCAGAGCUGUCUGCAACUCUGCCCUUCUCCAAGCAGGUCAGAGGGACCUGACCCAGGUCCCCCAACUCACCCGCAAG